RNAcentral lists this long non-coding RNA (421 nucleotides) under Ananas comosus (pineapple). Its description in RNAcentral is "long non-coding RNA (ACOM_LNC010667)". Lineage: Eukaryota; Viridiplantae; Streptophyta; Magnoliopsida; Poales; Bromeliaceae. The record is from RNAcentral.
CUAAAUCCUAAUUUAUUAAUUAUAACCGCACUUUCAUUUCAAUUUCAAUUCAUUCAAUUUUCUGAAUUAAAAUCAAAUAAAUUUGAAACAACACUUCGCAUUACUUUGUUAAUUUGUAACACUCUAGUUUUAUAUUAGGUGAAAAUCUAAUUCUGAUUUGAAUGUAUGAGAUUUCACACGCUAAUAAUAAUAACUGAGCUUAAAUAUUUUGGACCAAUGAUUUGAAUCCAACGAGUUAUUAUUGCUAGCGGAUUGAGUCAUUACAAUUGGUACCGAAGUCGAAUAUCACAUCGCUUGGUAAUUUGGGUUUGUAUGUCUGUGAUCUAGGUUUGAACUUGACGAAAACGUGAGGGUCUAAAUAGAGGGAGAGGAAGGGUCUAAACCUGACGAAAAUGUUAGAGUCUAAAUGAGGAAAAAGGAG